This is a long non-coding RNA of Mytilus californianus (California mussel), 1013 nucleotides long. RefSeq lists it as uncharacterized. Lineage: Eukaryota; Metazoa; Mollusca; Bivalvia; Mytilida; Mytilidae. The transcript has 4 exons. The record is from RefSeq and is a predicted model, not a curated record.
GUAAAAUUUCAGAGAGAUCCAUUCACUUAAACACAAGUUAUUGUCUGGAAACUAGAAAAAUGCUUAUUUUUGGCCCCUUUUUGGCCUCUUAUUCCUUAACUUUUUGGGCAAUUAAAGAACCUUAGUGAGCGCGCUCACAUACCCCACGUCCCCACAUUGUUAUUGGAGAAAUAAAAUAAGUGUAAGAAAAAAAAAUUGUAUCAGAAAAAAAAAUUGAAUCAUAAUUUCCUGUCAAUAUGCACAUCUACAUAGUAUGUCCUUAUUAUCUACACAGUUUCAUGAAAUUCUGUUGUGUGGUUUGAGAGGAGUUGCGAUGACAAAAGGUUGCAGUAGUAUAUUGGGCAAAUAAGUUCAAAGGGGCGUAACUCCUGGAAAAAAAAUUGAAUCGUAAUUUCCUGUCGAUAUGCACAUCUACGUAGUAUGUCCUUAUUAUCUGAAAAGGUUUCAUAAAAUUCUGUUGUGUGGUUUGAGAGGAGUUGCGAUGACAAACUGUUGCAGUAGUACAUUAAAGUAAAUAAGUUCAAAGGGGAGUAACUCCUAGAAAAAGAAUUUAAUUGUAAUUUCCUGUCGACAUGCACAUCUACAUAGUAUGUCCUUAUUAUCUAAAAAGGUUUCAUGAAAUUCUGUUGUGUGGUUUGAGAGGAGUUGCGAUGACAAAAGGUUGCAGUAGUAUAUUGGGCAAAUAAGUUCAAAGGGGCGUAACUCCUGGAAAAAAAAUUGAAUCGUAAUUUCCUGUCGAUAUGCACAUCUACGUAGUAUGUCCUUAUUAUCUACACAGUUUCAUGAAAUUAUGUUGUGUGGUUUGAGAGGAGUUGCGAUGACAAACUGUUGCAGUAGUACAUUAAAGUAAAUAAGUUCAAAGGGGCGGAACUCCUAGAAAAAGAAUUGAAUAGUAAUUUAUUGUCGAUAUGCACAACUACAUAGUAUGUCCUUAUUAUCUAAAAAGGUUUCGUGAAAUUCUGUUGUGUGGUUUGAGAGGAGUGGCGAUGACAAGAAACAGGACUGACGUACUG